GCACGUGGCGCAGUGGCUUGUGCCUGUAGUCCCAGCUACUCAGGAGGCUGAGGUGGGAGGAUCGCUUGAGCCCAGGAGUUCUGGGCUGUAGUGUGCUAUGCUGAUCGGGUGUCUGCACUAAGUUCGGCAUCAAUAUGGUGACCUACCGGGUGCCAGGGACCACCAGGUUGCCUAUGGAGAGGUGAAUCGGCCCAGGUCAGAAACGGAGCAGGUCAAAACUCCCGUGCUGAGCAGUUGUGGGAUCGCACCUGUGAAUAGCCACUGUACUCCAGCCUGGGCAACAUGGCGAGACCCCGUCUCU
This 301-nucleotide signal recognition particle RNA is filed under the name Cebus imitator (Panamanian white-faced capuchin). Its description in RNAcentral is "Metazoan signal recognition particle RNA (ENSCCAG00000008572.1)". It matches the Rfam family "Metazoan signal recognition particle RNA". Rfam says of the family: The signal recognition particle (SRP) is a universally conserved ribonucleoprotein. It is involved in the co-translational targeting of proteins to membranes. Lineage: Eukaryota; Metazoa; Chordata; Mammalia; Primates; Cebidae. The record is from RNAcentral.